AUUGAACGCUGGCGGCAUGCUUUACACAUGCAAGUCGAACGGCAGCGCGGGCUUCGGCCUGGCGGCGAGUGGCGAACGGGUGAGUAAUGCAUCGGAACGUGCCCAGUAGUGGGGGAUAGCCCGGCGAAAGCCGGAUUAAUGCCGCAUACGACCUGGGGGUGAAAGCGGGGGACCGAAAGGCCUCGCGCUAUUGGAGCGGCCGAUGUCGGAUUAGCUAGUUGGUGGGGUAAAGGCUUACCAAGGCGACGAUCCGUAGCUGGUCUGAGAGGACGACCAGCCACACUGGGACUGAGACACGGCCCAGACUCCUACGGGAGGCAGCAGUGGGGAAUUUUGGACAAUGGGGGCAACCCUGAUCCAGCCAUGCCGCGUGCGGGAAGAAGGCCUUCGGGUUGUAAACCGCUUUUGUUCGGGAAGAAAUCCUCUGGGCUAAUACCCCGGGGGGAUGACGGUACCGGAAGAAUAAGCACCGGCUAACUACGUG
This 484-nucleotide ribosomal RNA is filed under the name uncultured bacterium. RNAcentral's name for it is "partial 16S ribosomal RNA". It matches the Rfam family "Bacterial small subunit ribosomal RNA", at positions 28 to 507 of the family's 1533-position model. The record is from RNAcentral.